UACGGAGGGAGCUAGCGUUGUUCGGAAUUACUGGGCGUAAAGCGCACGUAGGCGGCUUUGUAAGUUAGAGGUGAAAGCCCGGGGCUCAACCCCGGAAUUGCCUUUAAGACUGCAUCGCUUGAAUCCAGGAGAGGUGAGUGGAAUUCCGAGUGUAGAGGUGAAAUUCGUAGAUAUUCGGAAGAACACCAGUGGCGAAGGCGGCUCACUGGAUCGGUACUGACGCUGAGGUGCGAAAGCGUGGGGAGCAAACAGG
This 253-nucleotide ribosomal RNA is filed under the name uncultured bacterium. Its description in RNAcentral is "partial 16S ribosomal RNA". It matches the Rfam family "Bacterial small subunit ribosomal RNA", at positions 524 to 776 of the family's 1533-position model. The record is from RNAcentral.